UACAGAGGUCCCGAGCGUUGUUCGGAUUCACUGGGCGUAAAGGGUGCGUAGGUGGUCGGGUAAGUCUGAUGUGAAAUCUCUGGGCUCAACCCAGAGACUGCAUUGGAUACUAUCCGGCUAGAGGAGUGGAGGGGGGACUGGAAUACUUGGUGUAGCAGUGAAAUGCGUAGAUAUCAAGUGGAACACCAGUGGCGAAGGCGAGUCCCUGGACACUUCCUGACACUGAGGCACGAAAGCUAGGGGAGCAAACAGG
This 253-nucleotide ribosomal RNA is filed under the name uncultured bacterium. RNAcentral describes it as "partial 16S ribosomal RNA". It matches the Rfam family "Bacterial small subunit ribosomal RNA", at positions 524 to 776 of the family's 1533-position model. The record is from RNAcentral.